UUAUGAAUCGAGUAAACGGUUGGUCCUACAAUGGCAGUGAUAAUGGUCAAAGAUUGAAUAAAGCCAGACAGUUAUAGAAAAACAAGUGUUGAUCCUCAUGAUUUUGAUGACCACGGACCUGAGACUGGAGUAUUGAGGCUGUUGGAUAUUAUUUGAACAUCCAUUCAAACGUCAAAUAGAAAUGCGGUGCGUGACUAGAUGGUCAACUGAUCUAACUGAUCUGCCUAACGUUACAAUAGCGCACGUGUCUGGUUUCUCUACGGUAUCCGUGCAGUUCUGUUCGGUACCUGUAUGGUCCAAGAGUAUGCGACAGUGGACUGGAAAUUUCGGACAGGGGACGAGCGACCACUGCUAGCGAGCUCUGUGGCCAAUGACGUGGCCAGGGUUGCCAGCGAUUAUUACAGUGAGUGAAAGCAGAAAGGAUUGUCCAGGAGCAGAAGCCUCUUGAGGAACGUGCAAGCUAUGAAAAAAGGCAUGCAAUGGCGGCCACAGUCACACACGUAGCAAGUAGAGGCUUGCUGCAAAGAACCAACUGUGUCUUUGUGCUCCGCCCGUACAACACAGCAAAACAACAACAGAGUUGCAUAGCCAGUGGCUGACGACUCUCUUACGGCCGUUGGAAAGCGCAACUGUGUUUCAAGUGUCAAAAGAACUCUCAGCGCUGAAUCCAACCUACCAGACUGUAGAGCCAUGAAGAUCUUGAUUGGUGGGACACACGGAUCAAUGAUCACCGCUGGAACUGCAUUCUGGGCAGCAUGACUCACUGGACGUCUGUGAGGACAGUGCAGAGCAUGAUUUUUAUGAUCAAUCAAAAACUGCUCAUUGCUGUUACCCGUACAAUGAUAUGUACACAUGCUCACUGGAAUGAACUGGCAACGACGGUGUUGACGAGGGGAACGGCCGAUAUCUCCAACCUAACCUGGCAGCCGUACAAAGGCGGCAUCAUGAUGGCCAGCUUGCCUGACGAGUUCAUCGCUCAGUAUCCAGAACCGUUCCAGCAACUUUCCCACAAUGAAGUGAUGAUGAUGGAAGCAAGGUAGCCAAAUGUCAAGCUGGAAGACAUGUUAUCACUGGCGGCAUACUGGAUCAGAAACUGAGCACGGAGGACAGCUUUCACAGCAGAGAUAAUCAGCCAUGUAUCAGUGGUGGGUGCAGAUAGCAGAAGCCAAGAACGGAGAAGGAUAGAUAACAUUGACAGCAGAGGCAAGUAUGGACUACCUGACAGUGUUCAAGUACUGGAAAUCACCAACACAGAUCAUGCAGUUUGUCCACCAACCAGUGCAAUGGUAACUGAUAGCCGAGUAGCAAGACGGAUGUGUCGACGUCAGUGCAGAGCGCCUUUGUGAUGUGCGAUGCAGCCUUGCAAUUGCAGCUGGUGGUGCAGGGUGGCAGGAGGUAGGAUAGUUCAACAGAGUUGAUUGUACAAAGAUCGAAUCUCACUCACUCUCCGGGUGCGUAGCUGCUAGUGCAAGAAAGCUGAUUUGCGCAUCACGCUGAGUGCAUGUGUCACACGGACGACGCACAGCAGAAACAAAUCUACCAACUGCCGCUUUCUCUUGCUGGUUGUCCUGCAGCAUGAAUCAAGCAGUUGUGAAAUGUUCUUCUUCUCGUCCUCUCCUCAGCAAAUCAAUGUAUAUUCUGAUUUAGCCUCUGGCGUGGCAGGCUGUAUCACUCUGCUCUUGUGGCUUCUUUUUCACGACCAACUCCCUCCCCCCCCCCCCCCCCCUCCUCACAGUCUCUUUCUUCCACUGUGUCUGUGUGUCUGUCUAGCUCUCUCUCUCUCGUUUUUUGGGGGCCGCGACAAAUGUAUGCGAACCCCGCUACUAUUUCCUCUGCUCAUUUAGUUGCAAAUCUUUCCGAUUCUAUUUUUAAGGCAUCUUAGACUGACAGAGUAUUCAG
Long non-coding RNA from Sycon ciliatum, 1899 nucleotides. RefSeq lists it as uncharacterized. The record is from RefSeq and is a predicted model, not a curated record. Lineage: Eukaryota; Metazoa; Porifera; Calcarea; Leucosolenida; Sycettidae. The transcript is spliced from 3 exons.